GCAGUCGUGGCGAGUGGUUAAGGCGAUGGACUCAAAAUCUAUUGGGUCUCCCCGCGCAGGUUCGAAUCCUGCCGGCUGCG
This 80-nucleotide transfer RNA is filed under the name Trichonephila clavata. It matches the Rfam family "tRNA". From Rfam's summary of the family: Transfer RNA (tRNA) molecules are approximately 80 nucleotides in length. Their secondary structure includes four short double-helical elements and three loops (D, anti-codon, and T loops). The record is from Rfam by way of RNAcentral. Lineage: Eukaryota; Metazoa; Arthropoda; Arachnida; Araneae; Nephilidae.